This 425-nucleotide ribosomal RNA is filed under the name uncultured bacterium. Its description in RNAcentral is "partial 16S ribosomal RNA". It matches the Rfam family "Bacterial small subunit ribosomal RNA", at positions 354 to 796 of the family's 1533-position model. The record is from RNAcentral.
GUGGGGAAUCUUGCGCAAUGGGCGAAAGCCUGACGCAGCCAUGCCGCGUGAAUGAUGAAGGUCUUAGGAUUGUAAAAUUCUUUCACCGGGGACGAUAAUGACGGUACCCGGAGAAGAAGCUCCGGCUAACUUCGUGCCAGCAGCCGCGGUAAUACGAAGGGGGCUAGCGUUGCUCGGAAUUACUGGGCGUAAAGGGCGCGUAGGCGGACAGCUUAGUCAGAGGUGAAAGCCCAGGGCUCAACCUUGGAAUUGCCUUUGAUACUGGCUGUCUUGAGUUUGGGAGAGGUGAGUGGAACUCCGAGUGUAGAGGUGAAAUUCGUAGAUAUUCGGAAGAACACCAGUGGCGAAGGCGACUCACUGGCCCGAUACUGACGCUGAGGCGCGAAAGCGUGGGGAGCAAACAGGAUUAGAAACCCCUGUAGUCC